UUCCUUCUUUUUUUUAUUUAUCCUUUUCUCUCCCUAUUUUCUCUUCUCUCCCCUUCUCUUUGUGAAAGCAGGUAGAGCGAUGCAAGUACAAAUAGCAAAAAAUAGAAAAGAGAGUAAAAAGGUCUU
This 126-nucleotide non-coding RNA is filed under the name Palpitomonas bilix. The record is from RNAcentral.